AGCUCACCAAUGAUGGAAAUCCAAUGUCUGAACCAAUGAAUUCAUUGUGAUUUAACUUUUUUAUUUACUCUGAGGUGAGCU
Oryzias melastigma (Indian medaka) is the source of this 81-nucleotide small nucleolar RNA. Ensembl annotates it as small nucleolar RNA SNORD72. Its record names the gene SNORD72. Lineage: Eukaryota; Metazoa; Chordata; Actinopteri; Beloniformes; Adrianichthyidae. The record is from Ensembl.